RNAcentral lists this transfer RNA (88 nucleotides) under Candidatus Campbelliibacteriota bacterium. RNAcentral's name for it is "Candidatus Campbellbacteria bacterium tRNA-Ser". It matches the Rfam family "tRNA". Rfam says of the family: Transfer RNA (tRNA) molecules are approximately 80 nucleotides in length. Their secondary structure includes four short double-helical elements and three loops (D, anti-codon, and T loops). The record is from RNAcentral. Lineage: Bacteria; Candidatus Campbelliibacteriota.
GGAGAGAUGGCUGAGUGGUCGAAAGCGCUCCCUUGCUAAGGGAGUAAGGGGUUUUCCCCCUUCGUGGGUUCGAAUCCCACUCUCUCCG